This 433-nucleotide ribosomal RNA is filed under the name uncultured bacterium. Its description in RNAcentral is "partial 16S ribosomal RNA". It matches the Rfam family "Bacterial small subunit ribosomal RNA", at positions 29 to 507 of the family's 1533-position model. The record is from RNAcentral.
AACGAACGCUGGCGGCAUGCCUAACACAUGCAAGUCGAACGAGACCUUCGGGUCUAGUGGCGCACGGGUGCGUAACGCGUGGGAAUCUUCCCUUGGGUUCGGAAUAACAGUUGGAAACGACUGCUAAUACCGGAUGAUGACGUAAGUCCAAAGAUUUAUCGCCCAAGGAUGAGCCCGCGUAGGAUUAGCUAGUUGGUGAGGUAAAGGCUCACCAAGGCGACGAUCCUUAGCUGGUCUGAGAGGAUGAUCAGCCACACUGGGACUGAGACACGGCCCAGAAUCCUACGGGAGGCAGCAGUGGGGAAUAUUGGACAAUGGGCGAAAGCCUGAUCCAGCAAUGCCGCGUGAGUGAUGAAGGCCUUAGGGUUGUAAAGCUCUUUUACCCGGGAUGAUAAUGACAGUACCGGGAGAAUAAGCUCCGGCUAACUCCGUG